UUGCACUGUUCGUAAUCAGUUGCCAUUACUUGUUGGCAUUUGGUUCCAUUCCAGUGCUACAGAAAUCCCACUAAGGACAACACAGUCCCACGCCUGUUGGGCUGAUAUUCUUUUUGGGGAACAUC
Non-coding RNA from Xenopus laevis (African clawed frog), 125 nucleotides. Lineage: Eukaryota; Metazoa; Chordata; Amphibia; Anura; Pipidae. The record is from Rfam.